RNAcentral lists this ribosomal RNA (919 nucleotides) under uncultured archaeon. RNAcentral describes it as "bacterial SSU rRNA". It matches the Rfam family "Archaeal small subunit ribosomal RNA", at positions 1 to 922 of the family's 1478-position model. The record is from RNAcentral.
UUCCGGUUGAUCCCGCCGGAGGCCAUUGCUAUCGGAGUCCGAUUUAGCCAUGCUAGUCGCACGAGUUCAGACUCGUGGCGGAAAGCUCAGUAACACGUGGCCAAACUACCCUACAGACCGUAAUAACCUCGGGAAACUGAGGCUAAUGACGGAUACGGCUCUCACUCUGGAGUGAGGAGAGCCCGAAACGCUCACGCGCUAUAGGAUGUGGCUGCGGCCGAUUAGGCAGACGGUGGGGUAACGGCCCACCGUGCCGAUAAUCGGUACGGGUUGUGAGAGCAAGAGCCCGGAGACGGAAUCUGAGACAAGAUUCCGGGCCCUACGGGGCGCAGCAGGCGCGAAACCUUUACACUGCACGACAGUGCGAUAAGGGGACUCCGAGUGCGAGGGCAUAUAGUCCUCGCUUUUCUGCACCGUAAGAUGGUGCAAGAAUAAGGACUGGGCAAGACCGGUGCCAGCCGCCGCGGUAAUACCGGCAGUCCAAGUGAUGGCCGCUAUUAUUGGGCCUAAAGCGUCCGUAGCCGGCCAGACAGGUCCGUCGGGAAAUCUGCUCGCUCAACGAGCAGGCGUCCGGCGGAAACCAGCUGGCUUGGGGCCGGAAGACUCGAGGGGUACGUCCGGGGUAGGAGUGAAAUCCCGUAAUCCUGGACGGACCACCGGUGGCGAAAGCGCCUCGAGAAGACGGACCCGACGGUGAGGGACGAAAGCUAGGGUCACGAACCGGAUUAGAUACCCGGGUAGUCCUAGCUGUAAACGAUGCUCGCUAAGUAUGGCGUAGACUACGAGUCUACGCUGUGCUGCAGUGAAGACGUCAAGCGAGCCGCCUGGGAAGUACGUCCGCAAGGAUGAAACUUAAAGGAAUUGGCGGGGGAGCACUACAACCGGAGGAGCCUGCGGUUUAAUUGGAUUCAACGCCGGA